Pipra filicauda (Wire-tailed manakin) is the source of this 6667-nucleotide long non-coding RNA. RefSeq lists it as uncharacterized. The transcript has 3 exons. The record is from RefSeq and is a predicted model, not a curated record. NCBI's taxonomy places the organism in Eukaryota, Metazoa, Chordata, Aves, Passeriformes, Pipridae.
UUGUACUUCAGCCCUGACAGCAAAGUAGUACAGUGCAUUGCAAGUUUAUGACUAUUGAGACCAGAAUCAUGGAGAUGGAGGUGUCCUGCUGCCCGUGAAAUGGAAGGCUGCAAGAGCAAUGCCUCCCAGAUCCAGGACAUGCCUGACUCCAACCCAAAUCCAUCCUUCUCCUGGUGAAGCCCUUGGACAGAGGAACUGACCUUGCUGCUCCUCUGCCCACCCAGCUACCCAACUGGGCAAAACCAGGUCUUCUCUGAAAGUCACACACCACUGCUGAGCUGAAGCGUCUCAAUAAGCUAAAUCACUAUAGAGCACCAGAUUUAUUUAUUUACUGGUUUGCCAGGGAAAAACAAAUUCCUUAGAGGACAGAUCUUCAGAAGAAUUCAGUGCUGACCUCAUUGUGUCACUAUUGAUGUCAGUGAAACCCGCCGAAACAAAAUAAAGCCAAUGAUGGACGAGUUUGAAAAUUGUACAUGCUGUAAACCACGAGGAAGUUCACAGCAACUUCAUUAGCUGCAUUGCUGCUAAUGAACAAAGCCCGGCUCGGGACAAGGGCUUGCUGGCAGCCAGUGAGGGAGCAUGUCGGGCCACACGGCCCCCCGGGGUGGUGUCCACAGCUGGGUGGGCGCCGGAGACGUGCACUCUUGCGCGGGGAGCCACCAUCCAUCGUGUUUGUGCCGAGGUUCCGGGUGUUGCCAGGGGUUACAGCGCACACAGCAAGGGACAGGGGCCGCACAACACGGGGAAAAGUUUCAGGCCAAAAAAGGAAAACAUCAGCUACAGAAAUGUAACAGCAGAGGCAAAACACCAGAGAUAAUCAAAUGUUAAUAUAACCACAUUCUUCUUCAGUGUAAUGAAAAAAACAUCAGAAAGCACGAAGAACAUGUUUCAAGUAACAGAGGGGGUUUUCUAACAAUAAAUUCAGACAACUCAUAUUCAACUGCACAAAGACUAGAAGAGGAGACCCACAAAAUCAGCUUGGCGCACCCUCGUGAGAGCUGUGCUGCUGGGCCAGGGCCGGACAGAACCUCCUCGCUGUGCCCCCAGCUGCUCCCGGUGCCCACAGCCACCACCAACUCCAUCCCAGCAGAGAACGAGGGUCGAGCUGAAAUAUUGCUGCUGGCACCGACCAACCACGAGGUUCAAUCAGUCCACAACUGGGAGGCAUUAAACCUUUAUGACUCUGCAUGCACCAAUGGCAUCUCCUGAGCAGCUGUGCAGGGGAAAGGGAAAGGAGCCCCACACGACACCUAUUCUGAGUGAAGGCAGCCAGCAAAACAGCCAACACUUCAAUGUUGCCUGCUCCAUCUUCAGACCACACACAUUUGCUGUUAGUCACCUAAAUGCAGACUAUUCUUCAGGUGCUUUCAUUUCUCAAGCUUGCACACUGUGAGGAAACAAUACUCAGCUAGUCCAAGGUUAAAAAAAAAAAAAAGAAAAGCUUUAAAUUUUAACAAGAGCACAAAGCUGUUAGCUUGAGAGUCCUGUUUUCCAUAAAACUCACAUUCAUAACAAGCAAUAAAGAUGGAAUUUUGCUGCAAUAUAACUCAUGAGUCUGCCUAAAACUUAGAUCUGAAGAGAUCUCCAUUAAAGGUAAAAUGUAGUAUAGGCUUCAUGCCAGACCAGUCUUUUGUUUCUUUUCAAUAAGAGAAAGAGUGCCAACUAUGAUAAAGUUUUACAAGGAAGUCACCUAUUUUCUAAAAACAUGACUGCAACUAGCCAUUCAUUUCAUGCAGGCUCUGAACAGCCAGUACAAUUAAUUGACAUCGCUUUCCUUCUUAUCUCUGAGUAAGCCAAGAAUACUUUUUUUAAAUUCUAUUUCUAUCAACAUUGAUAUUUACUGCAUUCCAUAUAAAAUCAGACAUUCCUCUGUUUAAAAGGAUAGAAUCAAAAGAAAGCCAGAGACCUGACUUGCUUGGUAUGGUGCUUUUCACAAUUUUAUCCAUUUCUUUGAUAAGAUUUACAUUUAAGGCACAAGAUUGUAGCAGAACAUCAUAUGACAGACGCAAAAAAAAAAAAAAACAAAACACGCGCUGCUUUCAGUCCAUUCAGCAUAAGCAUGAUGGAUUCAUAGCACAUUUAAAUCAACAGCAGACUUGGUAUAGACAGUAUUGAACUUUAGCUGCAUCCAGCAGUAUGGGGAAAGGACAACAUACAGUGGGGUGAAACAAUGGUUCUGUCAAUUAACCUGGCUACAGUGCACUGCUAGCAUAUCUGAGGGGGCUACAGACAAUCACUAUAGCAUAUUCCAAGGAAAUUCUGGCAGAGUAAGCCCUACAUGUAAUCAAAUUAGUCACUGUAAAAAUAUUCCUAAUAACUUAAAUGCCGAUAGAACCAGCCAGCUUCUCAAAAAAUUGCUCUAUCCAGGAAUAUAACUCAGAAUGUUAAGUAUUAAAAAUAUGAAUUAUUAGAUUGGUCUCAUGUCCUUCUCCUAACAAUGCAACAUUAUUUCUUAGUGCUUUUGUGUGCUUGUUAUUUUUUUUAAAAUACCGAAUUGCAAUGGCAAAGUAGGUUGGGUAAAGAGAACAAGAAAGAGGUUAUUUUACCUCACUAUAGGUCUUGUUCAUGCCACAUGCUUGGUUUGCCUCACUGCCAUCACUUCGCUUUCCCAUCUUUAAUAAGAGAAAUAGUAAUAUCUGUCUAUUCCUCAAGACAUUUAUGCUGAUUACUUAUCACUUACCAAAAUCUUUCAAACCAAAAGAAGUGUCAGAGAGGCAAAAUGAGACAUAAAUUCGUCUUUCACUAUGUUUCUUACUUCCUUUUUGUGUUGAGAGCCAAGACUCGUUUCUGAUAGCUAUCAUGUUCUGCUCCUUUUCUCAUCAAUUAUUUGAAGAAGUUACUGUCAUCCAAGGCUACGUUUUUAAUGAUUUUUUUAGUUGUGUAAUUUAAGGAGUGCAAAAUCACUCAAUUACAUCUUAUUCUGGAGAUCACUAACUGUAAUUAUACAUGGAAAUGAUGAAAUGAAGAAAAACUAGAUAUACUCUAAUCCACUUCCAGGGUCUAGCAUAAGAAAUCCAGGUCAGUUAUGCUAAUUUCAAACAGUGUAAAUUCACCAGUGCUUCAGCACAAUAAGACUGGUAACAAAUUAUGGGGCAAAAUUUUGUUCACAACAAAGAUUUCAUUUUCCCUACAGAAAUGGUGGAGCAAUAUAAAAAUAAAAAUUAUUCUCCUCUUACUAUUUGGUUAACCAAGAAUUGCAAGCCAAAUAUAAACGCACCUAAGAAUCAAUUCCCUGCCCAAAAGACAGCCUUCCCCAAAACAUCCAAUCCUCCCAAACCAACUGAAAAAACAUAUUGCAAAACUCCAUGUUAACCAAAGAGUUCAAGGAGAUUGACCCUGGCGCUUUCAAAUACUUUAAUAAGUAUUCUUUGAAGGAAAGAAAUGCUAGUGAGAACCAACCCUUUCACACAUGAAGAGAAUAAACAAAAGAUUCAGUAAUGGCUCUGACAUCAAGUUCCUUUUCAAGUAUUUUGUCGGUAGGGAAAACCAAGAAGAAAUGCCUGGAGCACUGAGGGAGGGUGGGAUGAAGAUCCUUUAAAGGAAACUAGGAAACUGCAACAACUGAUAAAGGACAUAUAGGGAAACACAUUAAGGAAAUGUGAAGAAAUAAAAAAAUCUGGACAACCUGCAUCAUACAGAACUUAAAAGAAUUACCUAAACUCCUUUAUGCUCACUGUGCAUAAGCCAGAUAACUGAAAAAGGAAAAUAUUAACAUUACCAACUUAAACAGCAAGGGUACUGCAGACAGACUCUCUCUCAUAAAUCCACUUUAUGUUCCCACUGGUCACUCUUGUCUUCAGUGAGCCUUGGGUACAUGGCCCUUAGCAAGGAUAGGGGACUAUCACAAGACCAGAUAAGCUUUAAUAGUGGCGUGAUGUUAUGUCUCACAGGAUCUUAGCUGAAAAAGUAAUUCACAUUGGUUUGGCCAUUUCCAUGUGCUUUUCAAGUUGCUGAGGUAAUGAAAUUACAGGAAAUAAGCUGCAGUGUAGCGAGAUGGUAGGAAGUGUCUCCUGGCUACCAUGUGGAUGACUGCUAGGAACAGUCUGUCAGACUUCUUUAUUGAUAAACUGGAAAUGAAAGUGCACAGCACUUUGCUGAAACUUGCAUACACUCUGUAAGAAAGACAGUGUACAAGGAAAAUAAUAGAGAAUGUCCUAAAGAAGACAGAACCGUGGAAAGAAAAUAACUAAAGGAGACUCAACUUGGAACAAAUGCAGGCUGGGAAAGCACCUGAGGAGGAAUAACAGGAAGGAGAAAUCUCAGAUGCAAUAAUGAUGAAAGAAAUGUAGGGAGAUAGCUCACACUAAAUUACAUGAAUUGGUAAUGUGCUACGGCAUGCAAAGGCCAGUAUGGUAUUGAACAGAGUAAAUAGUGUCACAUCCCUGAGGAAGGAACAAAUAGCCACUUUCUGCAUGGUGCUGGUACCGUCCGAUCUGGAAUAUUAUAUGCAUUUCUGGAUAUUGACAAAUUUGAGAGUUCAGAGAAGAGAAGCAAACAUGAUCCAAAGACUAAGAGGAUUGAUUUAUGAGGAGAGAUUAGAAGAGUUAAAUAUAUAAAUUGCUUGACAAAGAAAUGAUUAAUGGGGGACAUGAUAACAGCCUACAAAUAUUUGAAGAAGACCACCGGUGAAGGAAAGGUGUUUUUCAGAAGGAUUCACAGAGAACAGCAGAGUCCAGAGAGUGACUGAGAAGCAAAAACAUGUUCUGAGUAUCAAGAAAUGCUUCCUGACCAUGAAUUAUGAUAACCUGUGGAAUAAUUUCCUCAGUGGAAGAGGCAGGGAUCUUUUACUUGUGGCUUUUAAACACAGACUUGAAGAAUCUCUUAAGAAACCAAGGUGCCCACAACUGCAAACGUUUGGACUCAGUGACCUCUCUGAUCCCUUCCAGUUUAGCAGAGCUAGGUGCAGCCAACAAUUCCCCCUUCUCCAAGAUGAUUUGGGCAUAGGAGAAAUUACUGUAUUUGUAAAGAUGUUACAUUCUUAUUUGUGUUUUUCCCAGUGCUGCUUGCUACCCUGGCAUUCAUCAAACUGAAACAAACAAUAGCUGCUGUUAGAGAACUACUUCUGUUACUUGAGGGUCAUGGUGAAAGUCUCAGCACCUGUCUUACCACUGCAUGCAAAUAACAAAUCAGCAGUCUGAUACCCACAGAGCCUUUCAGCAACUCAGUUGGAUUCUUGAUGAGCUGCAUUCAAGGUGAAGGUGGAUAAUUAUGAACCACAUGCACAGACAGUGACGACUGCACACCCCACCAAGUGACCAAGACACAGGCUACAGUUUUUCACACUAAUGUUAUAAGAAGAAAGUGUUAUAAAAAUCAGUCAUGGAUUCACCAUGUGUAGUGAUGGCCUCCAUCACCCCCCUCCAUGAACCCCUAUCCUGCAUCCUGGUGCUGCAGUUCUGGAACCCCAUCAUUAGAGCCUUGACAUGGCCCUCUUUAGCUCCUCAACUCAGGGUGCUGGUUGGAGGGAGCUGGGUCCUGCAAAAAGCAAACACAUCCCAGAGACCUGCCUAUGUAAGGCUGUGAGGGCAAACUUGUUCUCUUUGACUGUGCAUCCUUCUGAGGGAAAUGACAAAAGUUUGUUGCAAAUAUUUGUGACAAUUUACUAUAGAGCCAUUUUGGUCUGUAGAUCACCGGUAAGACUUCGGGAUUACUAACUGGAACAAAAAUCUCAGUGAAAUAGUUUAAGAAUCAUUUAAUUUUUUUAACUACUGUUAUGAAGAAAAACAGAACACCUCAUCCAAAGGCAAUUUUACAGGAGUGAUUGUUCUGACACAAGCAGCAGGCAGCAAGGGAGGUGCCAGCCCAGGGAAAAUGUGCAUGGGGCCAUUGGCAGGACACCUAUGGGAAGGUAAAAACUAAAAAUCCACGUGAACUCUUCAGAAUAUCAGUAGACAGUAUUGCAGCUGAUGGCAAUAAAGUUCCCACCCUAAUACUUCAGUAGGAAACGGUGCAAAUUAAUAGAGAGCUUAUUGAAAAGCACCUGAAGUCAGACCCUGAUCCAUAUUUAGAACAACUAAGUUCUGGAGAGUGCAUGGAGCUGUCACCUGAGGACGCUUUUUCCAAUAGAAAACCGAAACCAAGACUAACUGCAUUGUUAGACACUGGGGAUUUGUAGGAAUGGAGAGUGGGAUAGCAAAGCAAACUCCUCAGUUAAACUCAGUGCUCUCAAAUCCAUCUCAUCCCAGCAUAGGGAUGAGAGUUGGUACUGAACUUCAUGGGGAUUCUGAGCUUCCUGGAAACUGCAGAUGUGCAUUUUUUACAGUAAUUGCUGUAUAAGUGAUUCUUUCAAUUUCUUCCAUACAUCCUCUUCGUACCCUCUGCAGACCCAUCAGCAUUCACUGGUUAUUGUCCCUGACCUGAUCCAUUCGGUCAACUUGUAUUAAAUCACUGGUCUUUGGUAUGCAUGAAAGACAAUUAUUUUAUUUUGUAUUACACGAACAGGGUCAGGCCCACAUUUAAUGCAAAGCUGAAAUGUGCACUGCUUCAGGGUCCUUUCAGGUACUGCAUUAUGCAAAACUAUCUAUUUGGAAUAUGAAAUCUGCUAUGUAUUCAGAGUGUUCAACUUAAAUACAGCAGCUCUUUUAUUUUUUCAAGUAUGAUUUCAGAGUUUUUAUAUUUACAUUGUUAUAUCAAUAAACAGUUAAUCAGAUGGUUGAGCAGAUACUGA